RNAcentral lists this ribosomal RNA (491 nucleotides) under uncultured bacterium. RNAcentral's name for it is "partial 16S ribosomal RNA". It matches the Rfam family "Bacterial small subunit ribosomal RNA", at positions 29 to 506 of the family's 1533-position model. The record is from RNAcentral.
AGUGAACGCUGGCGGUAGGCCUAACACAUGCAAGUCGAACGGCAGCACAGUAAGAGCUUGCUCUUACGGGUGGCGAGUGGCGGACGGGUGAGGUAUACAUCGGAAUCUACUUUUUCGUGUGGGAUAACGUAGGGAAACUUACGCUAAUACCGCAUACGAUCUACGGGUGAAAGCAGGGGAUCUUCGGACCUUGCGCGAUUGAAUGAGCCGAUGUCGGAUUAGCUAGUUGGCGGGGUAAAAGCCCACUAGGGCGACGAUCCGUAGCUGGUCUGAGAGGAUGUUGAGCGACAGAGAAAGUGAGCGACGACCCAGGGACCUAGGGGAGGCAGCGGCGGGGAAGAUUGGAAAAAGGGCGGAAGACUGAUCCAGCCGUACCGGGCGGGUGAAGAAGCCCUUCGGGUUGUAAAGCCGUUUUGUGGGGAAAGAAAAGCAGCAGGUUAAUACCCCGCUGUUCGAACGGUACCCAUAGAAUAAGCACGGGCUAACUUGGU